This is a transfer RNA of Ipomoea nil (Japanese morning glory), 82 nucleotides long. It matches the Rfam family "tRNA". Rfam says of the family: Transfer RNA (tRNA) molecules are approximately 80 nucleotides in length. NCBI's taxonomy places the organism in Eukaryota, Viridiplantae, Streptophyta, Magnoliopsida, Solanales, Convolvulaceae. The record is from Rfam.
GUUGCUUUGGUCAAGUGGUUAAGGCGUGUGCCUGUUAAGUACAUGGGGUUUCCCCGCGAGAGUUUGAAUCUCUCAAGCAACG